UCCCUCCUAGCUCAACCAGUAAAGAAUCUGCCUGCAAUGCAGGAGACCCAGGUUUCAUUCCUGGGUGGGGAA
Transfer RNA from Ovis aries (sheep), 72 nucleotides. It matches the Rfam family "tRNA". From Rfam's summary of the family: Transfer RNA (tRNA) molecules are approximately 80 nucleotides in length. Their secondary structure includes four short double-helical elements and three loops (D, anti-codon, and T loops). Lineage: Eukaryota; Metazoa; Chordata; Mammalia; Artiodactyla; Bovidae. The record is from Rfam.